Molecule: long non-coding RNA, 231 nt
Filed under: Ananas comosus (pineapple)
Lineage: Eukaryota; Viridiplantae; Streptophyta; Magnoliopsida; Poales; Bromeliaceae
Description: long non-coding RNA (ACOM_LNC024599)
Source: RNAcentral
AUAAAAUAUUUAUUAGUUUAUUUUGGGCUAGGCAAAUUAUGUUAAAAAAUUGUAAAAUAUUUAACGUAUUUUAAAUACUUUAAAUCAGUUUAUUAGAGCCAAUCGUUGAUUUGAAAGUCACAAUAUCGAAAAUGAUUUAAUAACACUGAGGUCACCAUACUUCUCCGAACACAUACAUAACUAUCUCUUUCUCUCUCUAUAUAUAUAAUCUCUUUCUCUCUCUAUAUGUAU